This 277-nucleotide long non-coding RNA is filed under the name Setaria viridis. RNAcentral's name for it is "long non-coding RNA (SVIR_LNC010932)". The record is from RNAcentral. Lineage: Eukaryota; Viridiplantae; Streptophyta; Magnoliopsida; Poales; Poaceae.
UGGGUUGUGGUUUAAAACUCGUGGGUUGACUUUGAUGGUGAUUGUGUACAUAUUUAAGAUUCUUACAACUUAGAGUUUCACAAGGAAGGUAGGGUCGCUUUUAGGAUUGUUUGGGGUUCAUUUGGAAAGUCAUUUAUUUCUGAAUAUUUUUUUGUGCCUCUUCCGAAAAUUACCAAUUAAGUUUACUAGGAUUUACAUUUCUUUAUUCAUUUAAACCGAUUCCUCAUCCAAAAUUUGUUUCCACAAGCAAACAGUAAUGCAUGACACUGAGAAAUCA